Sarcophilus harrisii (Tasmanian devil) is the source of this 402-nucleotide long non-coding RNA. RefSeq lists it as uncharacterized. The transcript has 2 exons. NCBI's taxonomy places the organism in Eukaryota, Metazoa, Chordata, Mammalia, Dasyuromorphia, Dasyuridae. The record is from RefSeq and is a predicted model, not a curated record.
UUUUAGCACAUGUAUUCUUACUUAUAAGCCAUUUUCUUCACUUUGAAAUUAAAUUUCUGUUUCAUUCCUAUCUGUCUCUCUAUGCUCUGCUCAGCUUCAGCCCCUCACAGGUUGAGAUCAGCUUUGUCCCAUUAACAAGGUCUAAAAGUGCUUUUCAUCCUUCAUUCCUACUGUUUUCAUCAUUUCAGGGUCUUCAUCAGAAAGGAGUCACAGAAGCCUGAAAAAUUGUCUGCCAAGAUUCUCCAUGACAUUAAUUUCCCUUUUUCUACUAUGACUGAAAGAAAUGUGUGGGCAGAAGUGGGCAAAUUGUUUUUUAUAUCAUAAACCUUGACCUCCCUUUAAUGAGAAUUCAUGGUCUUUGAAAUUUGAACCCCAAGACAAAAUAAAAAUAGUGCUUUAAUA